GCAGCCUCUAGGUCAGGCGGGUUCCGGCGCUCACCUCGCCGACCGGCUGGGCCUCCACGGCCGUCGGUUCGGGCCGUGAAGCGGCC
This 86-nucleotide transfer RNA is filed under the name Streptomyces roseolilacinus. Its description in RNAcentral is "tRNA-Val". The record is from RNAcentral. Lineage: Bacteria; Bacillati; Actinomycetota; Actinomycetes; Kitasatosporales; Streptomycetaceae.